AGAAUAUAAGAACCCGACUCUUAACUUUUAACUGAAAAUGUUAAGAGCCGGCUCUUAACAUUUUCAGUUAAAAAUUAAGAGUCGGAUUCUUAUAUUCC
Molecule: microRNA precursor, 98 nt
Organism: Brassica oleracea var. oleracea
Lineage: Eukaryota; Viridiplantae; Streptophyta; Magnoliopsida; Brassicales; Brassicaceae
Rfam family: MIR9563 microRNA precursor family
Source: Rfam